This 479-nucleotide ribosomal RNA is filed under the name uncultured organism. RNAcentral describes it as "partial 16S ribosomal RNA". It matches the Rfam family "Bacterial small subunit ribosomal RNA", at positions 331 to 801 of the family's 1533-position model. The record is from RNAcentral.
GUACACUCCUGCGGGAGGCAGCAGUGGGGAAUUUUGGACAAUGGGCGAAAGCCUGAUCCAGCAAUGCCGCGUGAGUGAAGAAGGCCUUCGGGUUGUAAAGCUCUUUUGUCAGGGAAGAAACGGUGAAAGCUAAUAUCUUUUGCUAAUGACGGUACCUGAAGAAUAAGCACCGGCUAACUACGUGCCAGCAGCCGCGGUAAUACGUAGGGUGCAAGCGUUAAUCGGAAUUACUGGGCGUAAAGCGUGCGCAGGCGGUUUUGUAAGUCUGAUGUGAAAUCCCCGGGCUCAACCCGGGAAUUGCAUUGGAGACUGCAAGGCUAGAAUCUGGCAGAGGGGGGUAGAAUUCCACGUGUAGCAGUGAAAUGCGUAGAUAUGUGGAGGAACACCGAUGGCGAAGGCAGCCCCCUGGGUCAAGAUUGACGCUCAUGCACGAAAGCGUGGGGAGCAAACAGGAUUAGAAACCCUAGUAGUCCCAUGAU